AAAUUGAAGAGUUUGAUCAUGGCUCAGAUUGAACGCUGGCGGCAGGCCUAACACAUGCAAGUCGAGCGGAAACGACACUAACAAUCCUUUGGGUGCGUUAAUGGGCGUCGAGCGGCGGACGGGUGAGUAAUGCCUAGGAAAUUGCCUUGAUGUGGGGGAUAACCAUUGGAAACGAUGGCUAAUACCGCAUAAUGCCUACGGGCCAAAGAGGGGGACC
RNAcentral lists this ribosomal RNA (217 nucleotides) under Vibrio gigantis. RNAcentral's name for it is "partial 16S ribosomal RNA". It matches the Rfam family "Bacterial small subunit ribosomal RNA", at positions 1 to 215 of the family's 1533-position model. Lineage: Bacteria; Pseudomonadati; Pseudomonadota; Gammaproteobacteria; Vibrionales; Vibrionaceae. The record is from RNAcentral.